This 468-nucleotide ribosomal RNA is filed under the name uncultured bacterium. RNAcentral describes it as "partial 16S ribosomal RNA". It matches the Rfam family "Bacterial small subunit ribosomal RNA", at positions 28 to 507 of the family's 1533-position model. The record is from RNAcentral.
GACGAACGCUGGCGGCGUGCUUAACACAUGCAAGUCGAACGGAAAGGCCCUGCUUUUGUGGGGUGCUCGAGUGGCGAACGGGUGAGUAACGCAUGAGUAACCUGCCCUUUACUUUGGGAUAACUUCAGGAAACUGGGGCUAAUACCGGAUAGGAGCUCCUGCUGCAUGGUGGGGGUUGGAAAGUUUCGGCGGUUGGGGAUGGACUCGCGGCUUAUCAGCUUGUUGGUGGGGUAGUGGCUUACCAAGGCUUUGACGGGUAGCCGGCCUGAGAGGGUGACCGGCCACAUUGGGACUGAGAUACGGCACAGACUCCUACGGGAGGCAGCAGUGGGGAAUAUUGCACAAUGGGCGGAAGCCUGAUGCAGCAACGCCGCGUGCGGGAUGACGGCCUUCGGGUUGUAAACCGCUUUCGCCUGUGACGAAGCGUGAGUGACGGUAAUGGGUAAAGAAGCACCGGCUAACUACGUG